CCCGCUAAAUUUAAGCAUACUUAUAAACGGAGGAAAAGAAACUAACAAGGAUUCCCCUAGUAAUGGCGAAUGAAGCAGAAAAAGCUCAGAUUUAAAAUCUCCGAAUUGUAGUUUCGAGAAGCACUUUCUCGAUGGAUCCAAGGUCGUCAAAGUUGCUUGGAACAGCACGUCGUAGAGGGUGACAACCCCGUCUGCGGCGACCUCGGCCGUUCACGAUGUGCUUUUUCGACGAGUCGGGUUGUUUGGGAAUGCAGCCCGAAAUGGGUGGUAAACCAUAGUCGUUUUUAGGAGGUUGCUAGUUUUCUGUCCCGCCCUCUGGAACCAUACUUAGUUAUUUUUGAAUGGUUUAAUAAUAAUGUGACGAUAGU
Molecule: non-coding RNA, 368 nt
Filed under: Nematostella vectensis (starlet sea anemone)
Lineage: Eukaryota; Metazoa; Cnidaria; Anthozoa; Actiniaria; Edwardsiidae
Description: Eukaryotic large subunit ribosomal RNA
Rfam family: Eukaryotic large subunit ribosomal RNA
Source: Rfam by way of RNAcentral